Triticum aestivum (bread wheat) is the source of this 1329-nucleotide long non-coding RNA. RefSeq lists it as uncharacterized. The record is from RefSeq and is a predicted model, not a curated record. The transcript has 4 exons. Lineage: Eukaryota; Viridiplantae; Streptophyta; Magnoliopsida; Poales; Poaceae.
UCUCACGCACGCCCAUUUACUGUCGAGUUUAUAGUCAUCAAGCAGUCCUUAAUUUUAAGAUGAUAUCAACAUUUAUAUUCCUGGUUAUAGGGUGUUGUCAAGAAUUUCAUCACACCCACUACUUUCCCACCGAGGUAGUUUCCGCCUGCAGCCAUGCACAAGUGUCGUCACCUACAUCUCCUCUAUGCGUUCCUGUCUCUCCAUGCCGCACGAGGAUGCAGUCAUCACAUCCUUGAGUAGUUUGCAGGUGUUUCUUGUAGUGAUGUUAACCCCAUAAAAAAGGACUCGCAGGUGGACAUAUGAUAUAUAUAAUCAGUGGAAGACUUCUCUUUUUGAUUGACUCUGGAUCUAAAGAAGCGUAAGCAUGUAGAGGAACUGGUGGUCCACCUUGCUGCUGCAAAUGGACUGCCCGAUUUUGUCCAUGUGUUGGACUAGAUGAUAUUUGAUGAUUUGAACCUUGCAACGGGGCGUGAGACUGCAGCAUGCUGUGUACAUAAGCAGGGAGUUGAGGGGCAGAACUGAAGGUAGACUCAGGUGCAGUUAUCCACUCCUUGCUUUCACUAGAAGAGCGUACUACGCGGUGAAAGCAAGAUCAUGCUGUACAGGCGUGCAGCUGUGAGAAAUACAGUGAUGGCUCCGUCUGAGUUCUCUAGCCCUCCUCUGCAAUUACAGGUUUGGGUGCACACUCCGCAAAUGAUGAUGGUUCAGCAGAGAUAGCAUUGCUCUGUAUUACAUAACUAUGUUCUGUCAGUCAAGUAUCGUUACGAUGCAAUAGGCAGAGGCUUCAAAAUUAUCUGCGGAGUAAGCGAUAGGAAGCCGUUGUGCAAUAAAUGUGCUCGUAUAGACGAACGCCGUUGGUACAAAAUCUCGAUCACAUGGGCCCAUAUCAUCAGCUCACAUCAGAGCCGGCUUACCAAUGUCGGAUGGCAUCGGUUUUAUUACUCCACAGAUGUGGGUCAUCGGCCAAGAGAAAAGAUGGGAUAACAAAUAUUAUGGAUACAAGAUGGCAGCAUAUAACUUUGCAAUUUUAUGAUUUGUGAUCCGGUAGAUUUUUGCCAUGCGGAGGGCUGAUGAUUCUGGCUAUAUGCACUGGAGUUUAAUCCAUGUUUGUGAACUAAUUAGAUAUCUAUCUAUGUGAAUUUUGAGAUACAUAUGUGUUUAAGAUGAUUUGAGAGUGCCCUUACCGGUCAUGCUAAUUCGAUUGUUCUAAUUUGUGUUCCUUUUUUACUUAACUGACAUGUAUUUUCACCAUUAAAUGUAAUAAUUAAUAUUGGCUGUGUUCCACAGUGCAAUACACAAUGAAUGGGAUUUUCCUUGCCAUGAGGUGAG